This 325-nucleotide ribosomal RNA is filed under the name uncultured Anoxybacillus sp. RNAcentral's name for it is "bacterial SSU rRNA". It matches the Rfam family "Bacterial small subunit ribosomal RNA", at positions 1055 to 1382 of the family's 1533-position model. Lineage: Bacteria; Bacillati; Bacillota; Bacilli; Caryophanales; Anoxybacillaceae. The record is from RNAcentral.
UCAGCUCGUGUCGUGAGAUGUCGGUUAAGUCCCGCAACGAGCGCAACCCUCGACCUUAGUUGCCAGCAUUCAGUUGGGCACUCUAAGGUGACUGCCGGCUAAAAGUCGGAGGAAGGUGGGGAUGACGUCAAAUCAUCAUGCCCCUUAUGACCUGGGCUACACACGUGCUACAAUGGGCGGUACAAAGGGUCGCGAACCCGCGAGGGGGAGCCAAUCCCAAAAAGCCGCUCUCAGUUCGGAUUGCAGGCUGCAACUCGCCUGCAUGAAGCCGGAAUCGCUAGUAAUCGCGGAUCAGCAUGCCGCGGUGAAUACGUUCCCGGGCCUU